CCCCGGGGCGGGGCGGCCGCGGGACCCGGUCUUCCACAGGCCGGGCGGCCGUAGGUUCGGCUCCCGGCCCGGAGCC
This 76-nucleotide transfer RNA is filed under the name Streptomyces hydrogenans. RNAcentral's name for it is "tRNA-Trp". The record is from RNAcentral. Lineage: Bacteria; Bacillati; Actinomycetota; Actinomycetes; Kitasatosporales; Streptomycetaceae.